This 470-nucleotide ribosomal RNA is filed under the name uncultured bacterium. RNAcentral describes it as "bacterial SSU rRNA". It matches the Rfam family "Bacterial small subunit ribosomal RNA", at positions 335 to 798 of the family's 1533-position model. The record is from RNAcentral.
ACUCCUACGGGAGGCAGCAGUGGGGAAUAUUGCACAAUGGGCGAAAGCCUGAUCCAGCCAUGCCGCGUGCAGGAUGAAGGCCUUCGGGUUGUAAACUGCUUUUGUACGGAACGAAAAGACUCUGGUUAAUACCUGGGGUCCAUGACGGUACCGUAAGAAUAAGCACCGGCUAACUACGUGCCAGCAGCCGCGGUAAUACGUAGGGUGCAAGCGUUAAUCGGAAUUACUGGGCGUAAAGCGUGCGCAGGCGGUUAUAUAAGACAGAUGUGAAAUCCCCGGGCUCAACCUGGGAACUGCAUUUGUGACUGUAUAGCUAGAGUACGGCAGAGGGGAUGGAAUUCCGCGUGUAGCAGUGAAAUGCGUAGAUAUGCGGAGGAACACCGAUGGCGAAGGCAAUCCCCUGGGCCUGUACUGACGCUCAUGCACGAAAGCGUGGGGAGCAAACAGGAUUAGAUACCCUGGUAGACUGU